CAUGCUUAACACAUGCAAGUCGCACGAGGGGGCAACCCCUCAGUGGCGGACGGGUGAGUAACGUGUAGGUAUCUAUCCAUGGUGGGGGAUAACAGCGGGAAACUGCUGCUAAUACCGCAUGACACCUGAGGGUCAAAGGCGCAAGUCGCCUGUGGAGGAGCCUUCGUCCGAUUAGCUAGUUGGUGGGGUAAAGGCCUACCAAGGCGACGAUCGGUAGCUGGUCUGAGAGGGAGACCCCCCACACUGGUACUGAGACACGGCCCAGACUCC
Molecule: ribosomal RNA, 270 nt
Filed under: unidentified marine bacterioplankton
Lineage: Bacteria
Description: partial 16S ribosomal RNA
Rfam family: Bacterial small subunit ribosomal RNA
Source: RNAcentral